GCAGCGCGGUAGGCCAUGGCAAGCCACUGAAUGUGGCUCGGUGUGACGAGAAGCCUUUGGAGGAUUUGGAAAUGAAGAUUAACAUCACCUGAUUUGCAUUCUAAAAGUCUGCUAGUUCGCUGUGGUUCCCUUCCGACAACACACAGGAAACCUACAGGUCUAACAAAAAAAGAAAGAAAAAAGAAAGCCU
Non-coding RNA from Microcebus murinus (gray mouse lemur), 190 nucleotides. The record is from RefSeq and is a predicted model, not a curated record. NCBI's taxonomy places the organism in Eukaryota, Metazoa, Chordata, Mammalia, Primates, Cheirogaleidae.